AAUAUGUCGCAAUGGAGGAAACUCUGACGCAGCGACGCCGCUUGAGCGAUGAAGGACUUCGGAUCGUAACUCUCUGUCUUUUGUGAAGAAGGUAUUCGGACUUUACGGUACCCAUGGAGGAAGCCCCGGCUAACUAUGUGCCAGCAGCCGCGGUAAUACGUAGGGGGCAAGCGUUGUCCGGAAUUAUUGGGCGUAAAGGGUGCGUAGGCGGCCUUGUAAGUCAGAUGUGAAAGAUCAUGGCUUAACUGUGGUAAGCAUUUGAAACUGCAGGGCUUGAGUACAGGAGAGGAGAGUGGAAUUCCUAGUGUAGCGGUGAAAUGCGUAGAUAUUAGGAGGAAUACCAGUGGCGAAGGCGACUCUCUGGACUGAUACUGACGCUGAGGCACGAAAGCGUGGGGAGCAAACA
This 406-nucleotide ribosomal RNA is filed under the name uncultured bacterium. Its description in RNAcentral is "partial 16S ribosomal RNA". It matches the Rfam family "Bacterial small subunit ribosomal RNA", at positions 360 to 774 of the family's 1533-position model. The record is from RNAcentral.